GACGAACGCUGGCGGCGUGCUUAACACAUGCAAGUCGAACGGAAAGUCCCUGCUUUUGUGGGGUGCUCGAGUUGCGAGCGGGUGAGUAACACUUGAGUAACCUGCCCUUUACUUUGGGAUAACUUCAUGAAACUGGGGCUAAUACCGGAUAGGAGCUCCUGCUGCUUGGUGGGGGUUGGUAAGUUUCGGCGGUUGGGGAUGGACUCGCGUCUUAUCAGCUUGUUGGGUGGGUAGUGGCUUACCAAGGCUUUGCCGGGUAGCCGGCCUGAGAGGGUGACCGGACACAUUGGGAAUGAGAUACGGCACAGACUACUACGGGAGGGAGGAGUGGGGAAUAGUGUACAAGGGGCGGAAGCAUGAUGCAGUAAAGCAGCGUGGGGGAUGACGGCAUGGGGGUUGUAAACCGCUUUCGCCUGUGACGAAGCGUGAGUGACGGUAAUGGGAAAAGAAGCACCGGCUAACUACGUG
Molecule: ribosomal RNA, 468 nt
Filed under: uncultured bacterium
Lineage: Bacteria
Description: partial 16S ribosomal RNA
Rfam family: Bacterial small subunit ribosomal RNA
Source: RNAcentral